RNAcentral lists this long non-coding RNA (337 nucleotides) under Setaria italica (foxtail millet). RNAcentral's name for it is "long non-coding RNA (SITA_LNC006051)". The record is from RNAcentral. Lineage: Eukaryota; Viridiplantae; Streptophyta; Magnoliopsida; Poales; Poaceae.
UUGCACAUGAGACAAAUGUAUCACACUUAUCCUAUUCUCCAAUCUCCAUAGUUCUGAUUGAGUAAAACUAAAGUUUGCUCCCCAUAAUUCCACCAUAGUUUCGUUGUGCUAAUAGGAUCAGCUCCGCUACAACGUGCUUCCUCUGACAACAGACGACAACAUCUUCCUAAAUCACCAGCAAAUUUGAUUCCAUUCUCGGCACCAACAUACACUGGUAUGCUCUCCAACCUGUUGAAAGUAUUGCCUCUAUUGUAGAUGUAUUUUAAGAAUUGUUCAAUGAUCAAUGCAGUGUAAUCAUUGACUCACUCCAAGAUCUUAGACAGUUUGUUCACAUAAA